This 18-nucleotide small nuclear RNA is filed under the name Arabidopsis thaliana (thale cress). RNAcentral describes it as "snRNA_09047". The record is from RNAcentral. Lineage: Eukaryota; Viridiplantae; Streptophyta; Magnoliopsida; Brassicales; Brassicaceae.
ACCUCCUGGGAAGUCCUC